CGCCCGGACGGAUCCCGUGGGGGGAAUCCAACCGGGACACGGGAAGCGCCCCGCACUCUGGA
This is a non-coding RNA of Streptomyces sp., 62 nucleotides long. The record is from Rfam. Lineage: Bacteria; Bacillati; Actinomycetota; Actinomycetes; Kitasatosporales; Streptomycetaceae.